UACGGGGGGGGUAAGCGUUGUUCGGAAUUACUGGGCGUAAAGCGCGCGUAGGCGGCCCCAUAAGUCCGCUGUGAAAGUCAAAGGCUCAACCUUUGAAAGCCGGUGGAUACUGUGGGGCUAGAGUACGGAAGAGGCGAGUGGAAUUCCUGGUGUAGCGGUGGAAUGCGCAGAUAUCAGGAGGAACACCAAUAGCGAAGGCAGCUCGCUGGGACGUUACUGACGCUGAGGCGCGAAAGCGUGGGGAGCGAACAGG
RNAcentral lists this ribosomal RNA (253 nucleotides) under uncultured bacterium. RNAcentral describes it as "partial 16S ribosomal RNA". It matches the Rfam family "Bacterial small subunit ribosomal RNA", at positions 524 to 776 of the family's 1533-position model. The record is from RNAcentral.